Molecule: long non-coding RNA, 1585 nt
Organism: Eucalyptus grandis
Lineage: Eukaryota; Viridiplantae; Streptophyta; Magnoliopsida; Myrtales; Myrtaceae
Exons: 3
Source: RefSeq, a predicted model, not a curated record
GAUAUUCUUAUUUGGGAAAUUAAAUGGAGUUGGAGAUGGAUGCACUAGUGCCUUUGGGCCUUAAGAUAUGCUAGUCCGGUUUGGGAAGAUACAAUCACAAUGUUGAUUUGGUCUACAUACCUAGAGAAUAAGCAAGAAGAAAGUGUUUGAACCAAGCAAUGUUUAGAAAGUAGAGAAAGAAAUCUAGGAUUCGGGGUCUCCCUGCUGUUAGGUGUCCUCUCAUAUACGAGGGGCUUUUACAUGCAUCGGGUGCCUAUACUUUUCUCUCGCCUAAUUGUGAGUUCCAAUUGAGUGGGUCCGAAUAUCAUGUUAUCUGCCCUAUGGAUCUCACUGCCACUUUGCAGUAAUUUCUCUUUUGUACUUCUUUCUUUGGAAAACUAUAACAUCAAUGAUUGGACAGGUUGGUCGCUCUUAGUUUUGCGAAAUCUGCGUAAUGGAGCAAAUUGCAGUUCAUGCAUUAGAAGUUAUAAUUACUUUUGUCAAUCAUGGCUUUUCUGAAAUGGAUUCGUUCCUGUUUAUCUCAGUCUUGCAUGAUCCUUUGAUAAGCUUGAUCUUCUGUUUUCAUUAUGAAGUACAUAUACAAUGAAAGGGAUUUUUCGGAUGGACUUCAGAUCUAAGGGCUAUCUUAUAAGUUCCUUGCAGGAACAAAAAUCCCCAUCACUAAGAAUGGUUCCUUUUGUAGUCAUUGAUGGCAGUCAGUGGCCAGCAGUGGAUUAUGUCGUUGUGAACAUGCAUGGUUCAAGGCAUCAUCUACCUCUUAGCUCAUUAUGUCACCAACAGCAGCCGAUUAAUGCUUCUCCUUACAAAUGCCUUUAGGCACUUAUUGGUCCUGAACACCCCUGUAAGUCUGUGACAUGUAAACUUAAUGCAUAUGGUUAACUGCAAUGUUUCUUGCCCCUUGAGAUUUUUCUGAUUAUCUAGAACAUGCGGUUCCGUUAAUUUUGUAAUGACGCAUUUACUUUGAUACAAGUAUCUGAUUUGAUGCUCUUGUUCCUCUAUUUUUGAAAGUUGGACUGCUUGAUGAGGGAAGAAAAUUCUUUCAUUAGGAAACUGUGUCCGUGCUGUUGACCUUUGCUUUUUCAAAAUGAAUUCCAGAGAUCAGUUCAUGCCAAGACUUCCUUAUUUUCUAUGGAAAAAGUGGAGCCAGCGCAGAGGGGAUGAGCAGGAGCAGCAGCAGUAGAGCCAUGCUGCAGUCUACCAGCCCAACACAAACGCAGUGGAUGAUUGGGAGAUGUACCAGAUGGACAUUUACUUGUAAUUUGUCUAAUUAGGAGAGGGAGAUCCACUUUUGUUCCAUGCGGCCAUCUUGUGUGUGUCAGCGGUGUGCAUUAUCCGUGGAACGGGAGGUUUCACCAAUAUGCUUUGUUGUAGGCAGCUGAUCUUUAAUUCAGUCCGGAUUCUUGAGUAUUAUAGUGAUUUUGUUUCUUUUAGUCCGAGGGUCGAAAGUCGAAAUUGUUAGCUUUUCUUCCUUAAUAUAUCCUCGAAAAAAGAGCAUGCCCAUCCUUUAAUGGAGAGUCCACAAUGGACCAGUGAUUAUUUUGUGUCAAUAACGAUGCUUCGUAGGUCUCUCCAACUGUGAAAACUG